RNA transcript from Helianthus annuus (common sunflower), 2878 nucleotides. RefSeq lists it as uncharacterized. NCBI's taxonomy places the organism in Eukaryota, Viridiplantae, Streptophyta, Magnoliopsida, Asterales, Asteraceae. The record is from RefSeq and is a predicted model, not a curated record. The transcript has 10 exons.
UGGUUUUAGCGGGAAACUUCUCGGGUCAAGAUAUGGGUCUACGCGGUGUCCAUUUUGAGGUUAUGACCCGAGUAUUUAAAUAGUCAAAUAACCUAAAAUCUCAUAGCUUCUCUUUCACGCUAUGUGCUUUCUUCUUCCUAAAAACCCUAAAUAUCUCGAUCGCCAAAUUCUUCUCCUUCACUCCUUUCACUCCUGUUGUUCUUCCUCCUCCGCUUCAACUCCCCAUCUGACGUUGAUUUUAUCAACAAACCCUAUCGAACAAUAUACCCGAUCAAUCCGUUCUUUAGUUUCUUCAUUCCUUUUUCAAACCCUAAAACUCCAGCUGUACAAAGAUUGAAGAGUAGCAGGGUUCUACAUCUAACUUAAAACUUAUGUGGUGAUGGUGCUGUGCUUUUGUCGCUGGAAACCAUGGUAGAAAGCGGUGGUGGUUGAGGGUUUCACUGCAAAUCUGCUCUGUUCUUCGCCGAUUCAUGAUUUAUAUUUGAAGGGUAUGCGAACACAGAUUUAGGGUUAGAUCUGGCGAAAGUUCUGGAGGAUGGUUGAUGUGUUUUUGAUUUCCUUGAUUUUGGUUCCGUUAAAAGGUGAAGGUGGACAUGAGAGUGGAUAUCAGUGAUCCGAGGCUAUGAUGGAUUGUAACAAAAUUAUAGUGAAUUGGGAUAAGCAAGAAAUUAGAAACAGCUAUGAUGGAUUACUAUCUGCUGUUGCAGCUAUGACAAAUAGUAUAUUUGAGUUUUCAGAGUCGCUACAGGAAGUAGGGACCUGUUUGCUGGACAAAACCGUAACCGAUGCUAAUGGUGAAUGUGGAAGAGUGUUACGGUGGCACAAGGCUGAAUUGGGUGGUGAUCGACGGCCGAUUUACUGCGGUGAACUGCGACAUAAAACAAGACGACAACGUCAUGCGUGCUGGGGCUGUUUUGGGAAGAGUCUCCAGCCACUAACACAGCAGCUGCUUCUCGACGAGGUAGGGGUUCUAAGAGAAGUCGUGCUUCCGAAGCUCCCAAAUUUAACUGGACGAUCCUUAUGGCCAAAAUUAAGAAGAUCAACAUUAUGCAUGUUACGGCUUGCAGGUUAAGGACCGACCGUUAUUAGACUUCCCAUUUCACCAACAAAACACUCUUUGCCCCUCCCUUUGCAUCAGUUGCAGAACAUUAUCAUCAUCCAUGUUUGGUGUUUUUUUGGUGAGCUGCAAUCAUUAACACCUAAACCAAUCAUCAUCUUCAUCUAUGUGUUUGAGCAAUCAGAUCAUGUGAUUAUGUAAUUUUGCUGCUGCAAACUGAGCUCCCUUUUUGUGUUAACGUGUGAGGUGGCAAAAUGGGUGGUCGAAAUGGGCCGCCAUUUAGUAUGGUUCAAAACAGGCUGGGUCGGGCUGUGUUGAUCUGCUGAAAUAUUUUGUCCAUGUCCUUAAAUUCUUUUAUUUGUAGUUAAUGCUUUAUUUAUGAAUAUAGAAACAAUUAUAUCAACGUAGGUCUUUCAAACAAAAGCAAUUUAGGAGGUUGUAUGCUUUAUGUAAAUAGAUAUUGGAUGCCUGUCAACCCACCUGCUCUAUUUUUCACUAAGGUUAUUUUUACCAGUUUGAGAUAAAUGAAAACUUGAUACUACCAAGUAUAGUGGUUAAAAUUGCCAACGGACUGUACCUUUUCAGUAAAUAACUAAAUACAUCAUUGUAAAAAAGUUUCACUAAUGCUUCCUGUAUAAAGGCAAGAUCGAGAAAAGGCAGUUUAAACAUUCUCGGAACAGUCCAUUUAUCGUAUCCAGAUUCAAUAGCUAGAUAACCAACUAUAUUAAUCAAUCCCCGACAUCCCUUUUUGUGAUUUAUAAGGUUAAAUAUUGUUGUGUUCGUAAGCUAUUUCUGUCAAAUAUUUGUGAAAUAGAUGAAAUAUUUGUUUGAUUGUACAUAUGGCUUUUGGGACCUAUACGUCUCAUGCCUUUAGCUUUUAAUAUUGGAAGUUACAUUUUCUUUAAAUCUUUCAGAUUAUCAUCUAAAAACCAACCACAACAACUUUGUUUUUUACUACACUUAAGAUCGAAGACAAAAUGGGUGGCAAGGGUCAAAAUGGGUGGUGUAAAAAUGUUUUUUUUUUAGUAAAAUUCUAAAGGGUAAAUGGUCGGGGAAAAAGGAGAUUUCCUAAUAGGCUGAAAACGGGCCAUCCCACUACUUCUUUGGUUCAAAAUGGGUAGUGUAAAAAUGGACCUAUACCUCCCCUUAGCCUUUUUGAUUCCAUUAACAUGUUAUACAUUUUGUAUCAUUUUAAGUAUGUAUUGCUUAUAAAUAAUAAGUAUAUUGAUAACUUUCUCCAGCCCGGGAAGCAUUUCCCGGGUGAUAACCUAGUUAAUAUUAUAUGGAGACAAUGUGGAUGCCAGUUAAGUUUACUUUUUUAAUUUUUAACUGCAUGCUAUUUCUAUAGAGUGGAAAUUACACUUUUCGUCCUUUAUGUUUGUACCGGAUUGCAAUAGAUAGUCUUUAACUUUAAUAAUUACUGUUACGAUCCUUUAUUUGUAAAACCCAUCACACAUUUCGUCAUUUUGCACUAACCAAGUUAAAAUUUUAUGUUAAGUCAGAUCAUGUGCACCUCAUGUGAGGACAUUUAUGUCAUUUUACCCAUAUCCCACAGCCACAGUCUGCCUCAUGUCCCUCACCGCGAACCACCCAAGUGGUGGAUACUCAGAAAACGUUUCCACCACCUGCGAAUCUGGAUUCUAGACUGAAAUGGAGCGAAGCUGGUGUGAUUUGGUAUUUAGAACUGUAAUGGACGUAUAGAACAAUAUGCAAGAUGUGUAAUUUGGCACUGUUGUAUAAUCUAAUUGGGUUUUAUGAUUUGUUAACCGAAUAACAUUAAAUUAAAUGAUGUUUGAUUUCGUGAAUUGGAUAUGAUUCCAU